GUGAAUCAUCAAAUUUUUGAACGCACAUUGCGCUUCCUGGCAUUCCGGGGAGUAUGCCUGUUUGAGGGUCAGUAUUAACAAAAAAUCGGUUUGGUUGCAAAUUGUGACGUUUUGGGAGUUGGGGCUAUCUUAACUGUUUGGUUAAGUGGCUGAAAAUUGACCUUUUUUGCGCAUUUUUAGACGUACAUAUAUUUUUUUUUUAUUAGUCGAUUCUUAGUGCCAAAAUCU
RNAcentral lists this unclassified non-coding RNA (228 nucleotides) under Glomeraceae sp. RNAcentral describes it as "partial contains 5.8S ribosomal RNA and internal transcribed spacer 2". The stretch from base 1 to 71 matches the Rfam family "5.8S ribosomal RNA", at positions 84 to 154 of the family's 154-position model. The record is from RNAcentral. Lineage: Eukaryota; Fungi; Glomeromycota; Glomeromycetes; Glomerales; Glomeraceae.